Long non-coding RNA from Lagenorhynchus albirostris (white-beaked dolphin), 461 nucleotides. RefSeq lists it as uncharacterized. The record is from RefSeq and is a predicted model, not a curated record. Lineage: Eukaryota; Metazoa; Chordata; Mammalia; Artiodactyla; Delphinidae. The transcript has 4 exons.
UGCCAGGGAGGGUGACAAUGAGCACUGGAGAGGGGUUUCUUCCCCUUGUUGGUGUCUCUUCCCCCUCUUGCUGCUAUGGCAGAUUCUGGACAGUGUGCAGCCUGUGAGGUAAUCUGAAUUCCUUGGCAACCGGCAAGUACCUGAAUUCUUUCAAAACCACAGGAAUCCAGCAGAGAAAAGACCAUUUGUGAACAACAGUGGCCCUAGGACCUUCAUGCCAAUUGCCAUUGCAUGAAAAUACAAUGUGACCCUGGAUCCCUGCUGGGAAAGGAAGGCUUUCAUCAAGUUGCUCAGAGAACUUACAGAUCUUUCCACAAUGGAUCCUGGCAUUUUCCCUGUGAAAUGGGAUGGAUAUUUCACUGACUCACUCCAUAGUGCUUGCUAUGCCACUGCAGAAGUAAAAUGCAGUCAUCACUGUGCUCAAUGGCAGACCUGAUUCUCAUGGUAUGUAAGCAGUGACC